Small nucleolar RNA from Heterocephalus glaber (naked mole-rat), 80 nucleotides. The record is from Ensembl. Lineage: Eukaryota; Metazoa; Chordata; Mammalia; Rodentia; Bathyergidae.
UGUGUAUGAUGACAUCUCAGAAAUGCUGCAGACUCUCCAUUGUGGAGUGAGCAAGCCAACACUGGAUAGCUGAGCAUUGA